Long non-coding RNA from Gambusia affinis (western mosquitofish), 1535 nucleotides. RefSeq lists it as uncharacterized. Lineage: Eukaryota; Metazoa; Chordata; Actinopteri; Cyprinodontiformes; Poeciliidae. The record is from RefSeq and is a predicted model, not a curated record. The transcript has 3 exons.
AAACGAUCAAAGGAUUUGAUUCAGCAAACUUUUUUUAGUCUAUGGUACAAUGCUAACAAAAUAUUAUAUCAAAAUACAACAUGCUGUUUACUAUCUAACACAAGUCAUAAUCAAAUUCAAUUAUCUUAUCAAUACCACUGCUGUACUGAAAAAGUUGUGAAUCUUCUCAGUUUUGGGAAACGGGGGACUACACCUAGCUGUUAAAGCUACAAACUUCAAUGUGUUUCAUUGGAGUUUUAUCAACACACCAGCACAAAGUUGUGCAGGACAGCGCUGUUCAAGUCCUGUUGAUAAAAUUCACCAAAUCAGUCAGAUGCUAAGGACAUCUCUGGAAUACCCACUUCGGUUGGCAACUUGGAGUUUGGUGCCUUUGCCAUGGCAACAUAACUUUUUAUUUUAGCUAUGUCUGAAUAUUUUGUUUUUGAAGAAAGGAAAAAAACAACAAAUACAGGAGUUUGUUGUCAGAUGUACAAAACAACUAAUGGCACCACACCAUUGCAGACUGAAUGCUGAAACUGGAUUUGAAAGGUACACAAAACUGUUGGGUUCUGGGGUUCACUGGCUGUCCACCAUAUAGCGCCCGAGGCUGCUGUUUCCGGGGGAGGCGUGCCCGUAGGCAGCACACCUGACAAGGAUCUUCUCAUCAUCUGGAGGUGUUUCAUAUCGAGUCAUUCCCUGGAUCCUCCCUGUGAGAUUCUCGCUGUGGCUUUGGAUUUAGCCCUUCUCGUGACGCCGUGGGUGGUACCCACAGGUUGCCCGAGUUUCCAUCUCCACCUCAUCUAUCAGAUCUCAGGAUUCUCCACUUCACUCCCUCCGGCUGGCAGUCAGACUUUUCCCUCCGUCAUCGCCUAAUCCCAAACUUACCUGUCCGCCCUCCAUCGCCGUUCUCCCAGCCUCUGGACCUCGUUUCCGCUCUGCAGCCCAUCCGGAACCUGCAGUAUCCACCCUCUCAAUCAAGACCAUCCCCGGCAAGAAUAAGCCGCCGUCAGCAGCACCUCCCUCCUCUGGUUCGGACCCCACACCUCGUCAAUCUCUUUACUGGUUUAUUUUACAAUAAAUAUUCUUAAACUGAUUAUCUGUCUCCUGUGGUGUUCUGCAUGUGGGCUAGAAACCUAAACCCAAACAUGACAGAACACUCCAGCCAGCGGGCAAGCCCCGCAGACGCCAUCAGAUGGACACUGACAGAACAACACUCAUUACUUCAGGCACAUGAAUCCGCCCUCCAAGAGUUAAGGUCCCGUCAAGCAGAGACCAACCAAUGCUUAACCGAACGUAUGAACUUUUUACAGAAAUCUACCCCGCAGACUUCACCUCCAGUUCCAGACCCAGUUCCGCCUAUCCAUUCCACCUUUUCCGAGAUCAGACCCCCAACUCCAGAAAGAUUUUCCGGGGACGUUUACAGGUGCAAAGGCUUCAUUUUACAGUGCUCUUUAAUCUUUAACCACUCACCCCAGAGUUUUCCUCAUGAUAGCUCCAAGAUUGCUUAUGUUUUGUCCCUGCUGUCUGGUCGAGCCCUCAAUUGGGCAGAGGCCCGA